CUAGUACAUGCAGUCGAGCGAACUGAUUAGAAGCUUGCUUCUAUGACGUUAGCGGCGGACGGGUGAGUAACACGUGGGCAACCUGCCUGUAAGACUGGGAUAACUCCGGGAAACCGGAGCUAAUACCGGAUAACAUUUUCUCUUGCAUAAUAGAAAAUUGAAAGAUGGUUUCGGCUAUCACUUACAGAUGGGCCCGCGGUGCAUUAGCUAGUUGGUGAGGUAACGGCUCACCAAGGCAACGAUGCAUAGCCGACCUGAGAGGGUGAUCGGCCACACUGGGACUGAGACACGGCCCAGACUCCUACGGGAGGCAGCAGUAGGGAAUCUUCCGCAAUGGACGAAAGUCUGACGGAGCAACGCCGCGUGAGUGAUGAAGGCUUUCGGGUCGUAAAACUCUGUUGUUAGGGAAGAACAAGUACAAGAGUAACUGCUUGUACCUUGACGGUACCUAACCAGAAAGCCACGGCUAACUACGUGCCAGCAGCCGCGGUAAUACGUAGGUGGCAAGCGUUAUCCGGAAUUAUUGGGCGUAAAGCGCGCGCACGCGGUUUCUUAAGUCUGAUGUGAAAGCCCACGGCUCAACCGUGGAGGGUCAUUGGAAACUGGGGAACUUGAGUGCAAAAAAAAAAAGCGGAAUUCCACGUGUAGCGGUGAAAUGCGUAGAGAUGUGGAGGAACACCAGUGGCGAAAGCGCGCUUUUUGGUCUGUAACUGACGCUGAGAGCGCGAAAGCGUGGGGAGCAAACAGGAUUAGAUACCCUGGUAGUCCACGCCGUAUACGAUGAGUGCUAAGUGUUAGAGGGUUUCUGCCCCUCUUGUGGUGCAGCUAACGCAAUAUAGCACUCUCGCCCUGGGGGAGUACAGGUCGCAAGACUGAGACUCACAAGAAUUGUACGGGGGGCCCGCACCAAGCGGUGGGAGCAUGUGGGUUUUAUUCGAAGCAACGCGCAGAAACUUAUCCCGUCUGACAUCCUCUGACAACUCUAAAGAAUAGAGCGUUCCCCUUCGGGGAACAGAGUGAACAGUGGUGCAUGGUGUCGU
RNAcentral lists this ribosomal RNA (1040 nucleotides) under Priestia flexa. Its description in RNAcentral is "bacterial SSU rRNA". It matches the Rfam family "Bacterial small subunit ribosomal RNA", at positions 48 to 1055 of the family's 1533-position model. Lineage: Bacteria; Bacillati; Bacillota; Bacilli; Caryophanales; Bacillaceae. The record is from RNAcentral.